This 300-nucleotide ribosomal RNA is filed under the name uncultured Pyrobaculum sp. RNAcentral describes it as "bacterial SSU rRNA". The stretch from base 52 to 300 matches the Rfam family "Bacterial small subunit ribosomal RNA", at positions 547 to 795 of the family's 1533-position model. Lineage: Archaea; Thermoproteati; Thermoproteota; Thermoprotei; Thermoproteales; Thermoproteaceae. The record is from RNAcentral.
GCAGAUGCGGGGCGAGCGGCGGGGGUAAGAUGUGGGGGGCAAGGGUUGUGCGGAAUUCAGUGGGGUAAAGGGGUCGGAGGCGGCCAACUAAGUCAUACGUGAAAUCCCUCGGCUUAACCGGGGAACUGCGUCGGAUACUGGAUGGCUUGAGGUCGGGAGAGGGAUGCGGAAUUCCAGGUGUAGCGGUGAAAUGCGUAGAUAUCUGGAGGAACACCGGUGGCGAAGGCGGCAUCCUGGACCGAUACUGACGCUGAGGAGCGAAAGCCAGGGGAGCAAACGGGAUUAGAUACCCGGGUAGUC